CGUCUCAAAACCACUCUCAAUACUACUAAGUUUAACAGAUCCCAUAGCUUCUCCACUUUCCUCGCUAAAUCCUCUGUGAUCAUUGUAGAUUUCGAAACAUCUUCAUUGUAUUCUUCUCGGAAUUCACGUUGAUAACGAGAGCUAUCUCCGCAGCUAAGGGCGUCGAUGAUGAUUAUGCACAAUGACGAGAGUACUCUAUGGUGCAAAGAACCGUUUUCUGAGAACCAGUAACAUUUUAGGCUUGAAAGUUUGGAGAGUACUUGAAGACAAGAAUUAGGAACAUCAACAAUACCAACAAUAGGCUUAUUAAUCGUGCAAAAGGGGAAAUUAGCAGCUUAUUAGCCUUUCCACUAGAUCGAACAUGCCCUUAUACGACAAUUUG
Molecule: long non-coding RNA, 382 nt
Organism: Arabidopsis thaliana (thale cress)
Lineage: Eukaryota; Viridiplantae; Streptophyta; Magnoliopsida; Brassicales; Brassicaceae
Product: other RNA
Exons: 1
Source: RefSeq